ACAUCUAACCUACAGAGCUACAAGAUAAGAAAAUAUUUUAAGCUACUGUGCUCAUGGAGAUGUGUUAGAGCCAAUAGUAAAUGAAUGCAAGGAACCCGUGAAAUCCCUGAGUCCCAGAGCUAAACACAUGGGCCCGGCCCGGGAGUCCGAGAAGGAAGAAGACGCAGAGGGAAGAAGACAGUUGAAGCCCCAGCUCUUGUUCAGCGUCCAGCACUCCUCAAACCACUGGGCUGAAAUUCUACACAUCCUUCAAUACUCUACUCAAAGGCCAUUUGCAGAGCUUUCCUUACACCCCUCAGCUAUGGAACUUUCACGUAUCAGGCCCAGGGCCGGGCAGUUUUCAUGUACCAUCCUACUUAGUGUUCAUAACAUCUCCAUGAAGCCUGUUGGUUUCUCCACUUUCAGAUAAGGAAACACAGGCUCUGCGAUGUAUAGUGUGCUCUAGAUAUUCAAAGGGAACCAUUUGCCAAGUCUGUGGACACAAGGACAAGACUGAGACACAAACAAGUGUUUCUUCUCAGCCAAUAAUAGCUUUUAAUACCAUCUGGAAACCUACACCAGUUAAGAAAGAAACAAAUAUGCCUUUUUUGCUUUCUUUAUAAGACCUCAAAGCUUGUAAAUCUUGGAUGUGUUGGGGAGGGAAAUGAAGAGAGUUCCAAAAUAGGGGCCUCCAGAAAAUUCAAGCCCCCUGGCAACCAAGACCUCAGAUUUGUCCAGGCAAUCAGAGAGCAUGGUUAUGCCAAUCUCAGUGGCUCAGGAACAAAACAAAGGUCGCUGCUAUCUCUGUUCACCCUGAAAGAGCUUCACAGUGACCUAAUUUAGAGUUCAGUCCAACCCUGUAAAUUACUACGAUAUUUUUAUUGAUACCAUGAAAAUGUACCCUCAUCUCUCUAUUGUCACAAAAACAUGUUGUUGAAACACUUAAAAUAUCUUGGCACACUUUGAAAGUGCUUUUUACAAAAUAGACAUGAAAUUAAUGGUGCAUUUCAGUCAACACGUUCUUCACAGUGCUUUCUUUCCCUUCCUCAAAGCCACGGAAUAAAACAAAGUG
Lutra lutra (Eurasian river otter) is the source of this 1051-nucleotide long non-coding RNA. RefSeq lists it as uncharacterized. The record is from RefSeq and is a predicted model, not a curated record. NCBI's taxonomy places the organism in Eukaryota, Metazoa, Chordata, Mammalia, Carnivora, Mustelidae. The transcript is spliced from 3 exons.